Molecule: long non-coding RNA, 754 nt
Organism: Perognathus longimembris pacificus (Pacific pocket mouse)
Lineage: Eukaryota; Metazoa; Chordata; Mammalia; Rodentia; Heteromyidae
Exons: 3
Source: RefSeq, a predicted model, not a curated record
GUGGGGAGGGCAGGACGCCCCAUGGUUGGAAAUAAGAGGGUUCCUGCCCAGAACCCUUCUUGUGAGAGAUGUGCACUUUAAGGGGUGACUUUGUUACAAAUGCCUAUGGCUGGGUUUGUGGGGGAGGAGCACUCUAAUCUACCAGACUCUGCUUAAUCCUCUGCUUCAGCCCUUUCCCAUCUCUCCUCACCAUUCCUCCCACAAGGCUUCUAGCAGCUUGGGGGCUAGGAGAUUCUCGAGAGAGGCCCCUCCAGGGGUCAGAGUGAAGGACUGCCUUGCCCAGGACCCAGUCAUGGGACUUUGAGGAAAGACCUGACCAAGUUAUCAAGCUUCUGGAAAGGUGGCUGACUUAACAGAUCUCCUCCUACUCAACAUGCCAAGCCUGCUUUGGGAUUCCCUUGAGUCUAGUUGGUAAUGGUGACUUGAAAGAACCAGUGGACCCUUUACCCCCAGGUACCUACCACCCCUCUGUUGUCGUGUCUGUGUUGUGCCUAAGUGCCUGCGCUGCCCUUACCCUUCUGCUGCCCUGAUUUCUGCAUGGUGUCUUGACCUGGGCUUCGUGUAGCUGCACUGCCUUUCAUCUUCUGCAAAAUUGGCUUUGUCCACUCUGACCGGGGCCUCUAUCUAGUUUUUGGGUUGUCUGGGUUGUCUCUGGUUUCCUCCUCACCUAAUAUUUAUUUUUAAAUUCAAAAUCAUGUCCUCCUCUUCCACUGCCAGGCAGCUUGGUGGAGAAACAAUGAUGGAACCCAUGCCC